AACGCACAUUGCGCCCUUUGGUAUUCCUUAGGGCAUGCCUGUUCGAGCGUCAUCUAAACCCUCAAGCACUGCUUGGUGUUGGGCGCUUGUCCCCCCCCUCGGGGCGGCGGACUCGCCUCAAAAGCAUUGGCGGCCUUUGUCAUGGGCUUCGAGCGCAGCAGACUCGCGCCUCGCGAUCCUCCGGCAAGGGCGUCCAACAAGACGCAUCUCCAAGUUUGACCUCGGAUCAGGUAGGGAUACCCGCUGAACUUAA
This 253-nucleotide unclassified non-coding RNA is filed under the name uncultured fungus. RNAcentral describes it as "partial contains 5.8S ribosomal RNA, internal transcribed spacer 2, and large subunit ribosomal RNA". The record is from RNAcentral. Lineage: Eukaryota; Fungi.